Pogoniulus pusillus (Red-fronted tinkerbird) is the source of this 934-nucleotide long non-coding RNA. RefSeq lists it as uncharacterized. The transcript is spliced from 3 exons. Lineage: Eukaryota; Metazoa; Chordata; Aves; Piciformes; Lybiidae. The record is from RefSeq and is a predicted model, not a curated record.
CGCGGCCCCGCCCCCGGUUGCUAUGGAGGUUCGCGCAUGCGCCGUGCCGCGGCCCCGCCCCCCGUUGCUAUGGAGGUUCGCGGCCCCGCCCCCGGUUGCUAUGGAGUUUCGCGCAUGCGCCGUGCCGCGGCCCCGCCCCCCGUUGCUAUGGCGGUUCGCGGCGCCGCCCCCCGUCGCUAUGGAGGUUCGCGCAUGCGCCGUGUCGCGGCUUGUUGCUAUGGAGCACGGUCCACAGCGAACUGCAGUGCCGACAAUUAAACACAGGGUGGCAGCAGCGAUCACGGUCCCCAGCGAACUGCAGUGCCGACAAUUAAACACAGGGUGGCAGCAGCGAGCACGGUCCCCAGGGUGCUGCAGUGCCGGCAGUUAAGCACAGGGUGGCAGCAGUGAGCGCUGCGCGCAUGCGUUGGGUCGCUGUGCGGGGUGCGGAGCUGGCGCAUGCGUCCUGCUCUGCCGCCUCGUUACGCAUGCGGGGCCGGGGCCGUGCUGAGAGGCCUGCGGGGGGAAGGCUGCGGCGGCAGCGGCGUGGAGCGGCAGCGGGGCCGGGCCGGGCCGGGCCGAGGAGGGCUUUGCAGUGCCGGGAGCUGAACUGCUUUGCCCCAGCCCAGCUGCAGAUUUGCACUCAGCCUCAGCCCCAAGCCCUGGCAGGGUGGGAUGCUUUGGUACCAGGCCGUGGAGCUGUUUGAAAUGCAAUUGCUGCUUGCAGCUGGUUCAGAAAUGGAUUUCCUGUGGCUGUGGGGGCAGAAAUGUGUCUGUGCACACGCUCAGAGGACAGGUCCCUGGAUUGCAGUGCUGCUCCAAUGGCCUGUGGUGGCUGCAGGCAGCCGCGGCCCGGGGAGCCCAAGACUCAGCGUGUGGAAGGGUUGGGAGCAGCCCUGGGUGCCUGCAAGGAUUCGGGAGGUGAGCUGAGCAGGUGAGAUGGAUCUGAGACACC